RNAcentral lists this ribosomal RNA (301 nucleotides) under uncultured bacterium. RNAcentral describes it as "partial 16S ribosomal RNA". It matches the Rfam family "Bacterial small subunit ribosomal RNA", at positions 509 to 807 of the family's 1533-position model. The record is from RNAcentral.
CAGUCGCCGCGGUAAUACGAAGGGGGCUAGCGUUAUUCGGAUUUACUGGGCGUAAAGGGCGCGUAGGCGGACUGAUAAGUCGGGGGUGAAAUCCCAAGGCUCAACCUUGGAACUGCCUUUGACACUGUUUGUCUUGAGUUCGAGAGAGGUAAGUGGAACUGCGAGUGUAGAGGUGAAAUUCGUAGAUAUUCGCAAGAACACCAGUGGCGAAGGCGGCUUACUGGCUCGAAACUGACGCUGAGGCGCGAAAGCGUGGGGAGCAAACAGGAUUAGAUACCCCCGUAGUCCCUGUCUCUUAUAC